RNAcentral lists this ribosomal RNA (403 nucleotides) under uncultured bacterium. RNAcentral's name for it is "partial 16S ribosomal RNA". It matches the Rfam family "Bacterial small subunit ribosomal RNA", at positions 30 to 526 of the family's 1533-position model. The record is from RNAcentral.
AUUGAACGCUGGCGGCAGGCCUAACACAUGCAAGUCGAGCGAGCGGCGGACGGGUGAGUAAUGUAUGGGGACUGCCCGAUAGAGGGGGAUAACUACUGGAAACGGUGGCUAAUACUGCAUACUCUCGGAUAACCCAGAUGGGAUUAGCUAGUGGGUGGGGUAAAGUCUCACCUAGGCGACGCUCCAUAGCUGGUCUGAGAGGAUGAUCAUCCACACUGGGACUGAAACACGGCCCAGACCACAACGGAGGCAGGAGUGGGGAAGAUUGUACAAUGGGAGAAGGCCUGGUGCGAACAUGCCGCGUGUAUGAAGAAGGCCUUAGGGUUGUAAAGUACUUUCAGCGGGGAGGAGUUACCCGAAGAAGAAGCACCGGCUAACUCCGUGCCAGCAGCCGCGGUAAUAC